UACGUAGGGUGCAAGCGUUGUCCGGAAUUAUUGGGCGUAAAGAGCUCGUAGGCGGUGUGUCACGUCGUUCGUGAAAACCUGCAGCUUAACUGUGGGCGUGCGGUCGAUACGGGCAUCACUGGAGUUCGGCAGGGGAGACUGGAAUUCCUGGUGUAGCAGUGAAAUGCGUAGAUAUCAGGAGGAACACCGAUGGCGAAGGCAGGUCUCUGGGCUGACACUGACGCUCAUGCACGAAAGCGUGGGGAGCAAACAGG
RNAcentral lists this ribosomal RNA (254 nucleotides) under uncultured bacterium. RNAcentral describes it as "partial 16S ribosomal RNA". It matches the Rfam family "Bacterial small subunit ribosomal RNA", at positions 524 to 776 of the family's 1533-position model. The record is from RNAcentral.